This is a small nuclear RNA of Nyctereutes procyonoides (raccoon dog), 102 nucleotides long. The record is from RefSeq and is a predicted model, not a curated record. Lineage: Eukaryota; Metazoa; Chordata; Mammalia; Carnivora; Canidae.
GUGCUCGCUUCGGCAGCACAUAUACUAAAAUUGGAACAAUACAGAGAGGAUUAGCAUGGCCCCUGUGCAAGGAUGACACACAAAACCAGCCAUCCUGUGAUU